RNAcentral lists this ribosomal RNA (446 nucleotides) under uncultured bacterium. Its description in RNAcentral is "bacterial SSU rRNA". It matches the Rfam family "Bacterial small subunit ribosomal RNA", at positions 329 to 792 of the family's 1533-position model. The record is from RNAcentral.
GACCAGACUCCUACGGGAGGCAGCAGUGGGGAAUAUUGCACAAUGGGGGAAACCCUGAUGCAGCGACGCCGCGUGAGCGAUGAAGUAUUUCGGUAUGUAAAGCUCUAUCAGCAGGGAAGAAAAUGACGGUACCUGACCAAGAAGCCCCGGCUAACUACGUGCCAGCAGCCGCGGUAAUACGUAGGGGGCAAGCGUUAUCCGGAUUUACUGGGUGUAAAGGGAGCGUAGACGGCAAGGCAAGUCUGGAGUGAAAGCCCGUGGCUCAACCACGGGACUGCUUUGGAAACUGUGUUUCUUGAGUGCUGGAGAGGCAAUCGGAAUUCCGUGUGUAGCGGUGAAAUGCGUAGAUAUACGGAGGAACACCAGUGGCGAAGGCGGAUUGCUGGACAGUAACUGACGCUGAGGCGCGAAAGCGUGGGGAGCAAACAGGAUUAGAUCCCCCAGUA